AUUGAACGCUGGCGGCAGGCCUAACACAUGCAAGUCGAGCGGAUGAAGGGAGCUUGCUCCUGGUUUCAGCGGCGGACGGGUGAGUAAUGCCUAGGAAUCUGCCUGGUAGUGGGGGAUAACGUCCGGAAACGGGCGCUAAUACCGCAUACGUGCUGAGGGAGAAAGUGGGGGAUCUUCGGACCUUACGCUAUCAGAUGAGCCUAGGUGGGAUUAGCUAGUUGGUGGGGUAAAGGCCUACCAAGGCGACGAUCCGUAACUGGUCUGAGAGGAUGAUCAGUCACACUGGAACUGAGACACGGUCCAGACUCCUACGGGAGGCAGCAGUGGGGAAUAUUGGACAAUGGGCGAAAGCCUGAUCCAGCCAUGCCGCGUGUGUGAAGAAGGUCUUCGGAUUGUAAAGCACUUUAAGUGGGGAGGAAGAGCAGUAAGUUAAUACCUUGCUGUUUUGACGGUACCAACAGAAUAAGCACCGGCUAACUUCGUG
RNAcentral lists this ribosomal RNA (484 nucleotides) under uncultured bacterium. RNAcentral's name for it is "partial 16S ribosomal RNA". It matches the Rfam family "Bacterial small subunit ribosomal RNA", at positions 30 to 507 of the family's 1533-position model. The record is from RNAcentral.